AGAGUUUGAUCCUGGCUCAGGACGAACGCUGGCGGCGUGGAUUAGGCAUGCAAGUCGAGCGACGAACCUUCGGGUUACGGAGCGGCGAACGGGUGAGUAACACGUGAAUAACCUACCCUCUCAUUCCGGAUAAUUGGCCGAAAGGCCUUGUAAUACGGGGGAGGUUCCCAUUUAGGCAUCUUUAAGGGAACGAACAAGCAAUUGGUGCGAGGAGGGGUUCGCGGAUUAUCAGCUAGUUGGUGAGGUAACGGCUCACCAAGGCUACGACGAUUAGGUGGUCUGAGAGGAUGGUCACCCACAUUGGAACUGAGAUACUGUCCAGACUCUUACGGGAGGCUGCAGUCGAGAAUCUUGGGCAAUGCACGAAAGUGUGACCCAGCGACGCCGCGUGGAGGAUGAAGGCCCUCUGGGUUGUAAACUCCUUUUACGGGAGAAGAAUCAAUGACGGUAUCCCGUGAAUAAGCCACGGCUAACUACGUGCCAGCAGCCGCGGUAAUACGUAGGUGGCAAGCGUUGUCCGGAUUUACUGGGCGUAAAGCGAACGCAGGCGGACUGUUAAGUAGGAAGUGAAAGGUCGGAGCUCAACUCCAACAUUGCUUCCUAUACUGGCAGUCUUGAGUAGCGGAGAGGAAGGGGGAACGACACGUGUAGCGGUGAAAUGCGUUGAUAUGUGUCGGAACACCCAUGGCGAAAGCACCCUUCUGGACGCAAACUGACGCUCAGGUUCGAAAGCCAAGGUAGCGAACAGGAUUAGAUACCCUGGUAGUCUUGGCCCUAAACUAUGUUCACUAGGUGUCGGGGGGUUUCCCUCGGUGCCGCAGCUAACGCAUUAAGUGAACC
This 840-nucleotide ribosomal RNA is filed under the name uncultured Planctomycetota bacterium. Its description in RNAcentral is "bacterial SSU rRNA". It matches the Rfam family "Bacterial small subunit ribosomal RNA", at positions 8 to 870 of the family's 1533-position model. The record is from RNAcentral. Lineage: Bacteria; Pseudomonadati; Planctomycetota.